UACGUAGGGCGCAAGCGUUAUCCGGAAUGAUUGGGCGUAAAGCGUCCGCAGGUGGCAAUGUAAGUCUGCUGUUAAAGAGUCUAGCUCAACUAGAUAAAAGCAGUGGAAACUACAUAGCUAGAGUACGUUCGGGGCAGAGGGAAUUCCUGGUGUAGCGGUGAAAUGCGUAGAGAUCAGGAAGAACACCGGUGGCGAAGGCGCUCUGCUAGGCCGUAACUGACACUGAGGGACGAAAGCUAGGGGAGCGAAUGGG
This 253-nucleotide ribosomal RNA is filed under the name uncultured bacterium. RNAcentral's name for it is "partial 16S ribosomal RNA". It matches the Rfam family "Bacterial small subunit ribosomal RNA", at positions 524 to 776 of the family's 1533-position model. The record is from RNAcentral.